Molecule: ribosomal RNA, 162 nt
Filed under: uncultured bacterium
Lineage: Bacteria
Description: partial 16S ribosomal RNA
Rfam family: Bacterial small subunit ribosomal RNA
Source: RNAcentral
UGGGGAAUUUUGGACAAUGGGCGCAAGCCUGAUCCAGCCAUGACGCGUGAGUGAAGAAGGCCUUCGGGUUGUAAAGCUCUUUCGGCCGGGAAGAAAUCGUGUUCUCUAACAUAGGACAUGGAUGACGGUACCGGACUAAGAAGCACCGGCUAACUACGUGCC